This 699-nucleotide long non-coding RNA is filed under the name Prunus dulcis (almond). RNAcentral describes it as "sRNA ncRNA". Lineage: Eukaryota; Viridiplantae; Streptophyta; Magnoliopsida; Rosales; Rosaceae. The record is from RNAcentral.
CCUUCUCCCAUGAAAUUUCUGAUAUUGGCCAAAACCUCCUCCACUUUUCCCUCUACAUCUCAUGUCCCUCUCUUUUUCAGCCAUUAUAUCUCCCUCAUCCUUUUUUCCCCUCAUCCCACCACACCUUCAUGCACCUGUCCUUAUCCCUUCUCCUCCCACCAAAUCUCAAACUCUAAAAGUCCUCUUUCCCUAGGAUUCACUGGGUCGACUACUGGUCUGCUGCAACUGCUUCAUUUCUACAACCCAUUAUUAGAUCUAAGACUUUAAUCUGCAUCUUUGGGCUAUGUGGGCUCUGUAACUCAACGAUAAAUUUUGACCACUAUUUCUCUGGAUCUUGGUGUUGUGGCGGCAGCGACAUAUCGAGCGGAGGCGGCAGUGGCUGCUUCAUUUGUGUAGGGUUUGAUUUUAGGGUUUUUGUAAUUUGGGCGCUUUUUGUUGUUUUGGGCAUGAGCUAUUGGGCUUUUCUUUUGUUAUUACUCAGGCCUAGGUUUUCAUUUUUGGGAGCUUCUAUAGUGAGUGGAAAGUUAUAAGGGGUGUUUUUGAGGGGUAUGUAAGAGCCGUUGGAUUUCAUCCAACGGUGAGUUUUUAAAAGAGGGUGCAUGUAGAAUCGGGUUGAAAUCUACCCCGUUAGAAACCCAACUUCAGUUGUUCCCCUCUUUCCCUCUCUGUGAAAAACUGAAGAACACAAUCCUCUCUUUU